AUACGGAGGGUGCAAGCGUUACUCGGAAUCACUGGGCGUAAAGCGCGCGCAGGCGGCCAUUUAAGUUGGAUGUGAAAGCCUACGGCUUAACCGUAGAACUGCAUCCAAAACUAUUUGGCUAGAGUGUGGGAGAGGAAGAUGGAAUUAGUUGUGUAGGGGUAAAAUCCGUAGAGAUAACUAGGAAUACCAAAAGCGAAGGCAAUCUUCUGGAACACUACUGACGCUGAGGCGCGAAAGCGUGGGGAGCAAACGGGAUUAGAAACCCUAGUAGUCC
Molecule: ribosomal RNA, 274 nt
Filed under: uncultured bacterium
Lineage: Bacteria
Description: partial 16S ribosomal RNA
Rfam family: Bacterial small subunit ribosomal RNA
Source: RNAcentral